Molecule: ribosomal RNA, 495 nt
Filed under: uncultured bacterium
Lineage: Bacteria
Description: partial 16S ribosomal RNA
Rfam family: Bacterial small subunit ribosomal RNA
Source: RNAcentral
GACGAACGCUGGCGGCGUGCCUAAUACAUGCAAGUAGAACGCUGAAGGAGGAGCUUGCUCUUCUGGAUGAGUUGCGAACGGGUGAGUAACGCGUAGGUAACCUGCCUGGUAGCGGGGGAUAACUAUUGGAAACGAUAGCUAAUACCGCAUAAGAGUAGAUGUUGCAUGACAUUUACUUAAAAGGUGCAAUUGCAUCACUACCAGAUGGACCUGCGUUGUAUUAGCUAGUUGGUGGGGCAACGGCUUACCAAGGCGACGAUACAUAGCCGACCUGAGAGGGUGAUCGGCCACACUGGGACUGAGACACGGCCCAGACUCCUACGGGAGGCAGCAGUAGGGAAUCUUCGGCAAUGGACGGAAGUCUGACCGAGCAACGCCGCGUGAGUGAAGAAGGUUUUCGGAUCGUAAAGCUCUGUUGUAAGAGAAGAACGAGUGUGAGAGUGGAAAGUUCACACUGUGACGGUAUCUUACCAGAAAGGGACGGCUAACUACGUG